Long non-coding RNA from Bos indicus x Bos taurus (hybrid cattle), 2235 nucleotides. The record is from Ensembl. NCBI's taxonomy places the organism in Eukaryota, Metazoa, Chordata, Mammalia, Artiodactyla, Bovidae.
UCUUACUGAAGAGUCCUAAACUGUAGAAGUUGGUUGGGUAUUCAUAAACAGAAAAAUAUUUUUUUUUCUGGCUCCUUCCCCACAGCUGUGCCUGCUGAAGAGAGUCCAACCUUUCUGAGGAGAAAAGCACCCCAAGCUGGAAGUUGGCAUCUAAGCUCACCUUGCCUAAGUCCCAGGUGAGCUGUACUUACAAGCGUUUCAGGCAGCCUGAAUGUGGCCUUGUCUGCUUUUCUCUGCUGCCCAUGAUCCUGCCUUACACAGCAGAUGCUCUGAGGCACAUUAGCCCCGGGGUUCCCUAGGCAACUAGGAUUGGCGCUGUGGGAUUGGGCACCUCCCAAGCUGUGUACUGAUCUCUUGGGCACCUUUCCUGUCAUCUCACUCCUUUUCCCUUGAAUCUUCUCUUAACUUUUUUGGUAACUGGCCUCCCAUGUAAUUCAGAAAUGAGUGAUAGGACGGCUUCUGUUGUAGCGGAGUACUGAACUACAACUUACUCUCUUCUCUAGAGUCCAUUGACAUUUGAAGAUGUGGCCUUGUAUUUUCCGAGGAAGAAUGGAAAAUAAUGACCCCUGAUGAGAAGACCCUCUACCUUGAUGUAAUGCAGGAACUCUAUGAGGAUGUCGCCUCUGUAGGGUUAAAGCUGAAAAAUGACACUGGAAAUGACCCACCUGUAUCUCUUCCUACAUUAGAGAUACAACCAUCAGGAUGCAAAGUAUUAGGAAAGGCCACAAGGAAAGAUGCUGAGACAACAGUGGGCAGUGAAAAUCACGGUGAUACAUGCAGGGUACGGAAACGACCUCACAGUCCCGAAGCCACAGCUCUCGCCAGCCACUUCGUGCCUGGUGACGAACUGCACUGAAACUCUCAAAACGGGCCGUUUCCAUGAAACUCGAGGAAAUUAUCUGAGUGCAGCCAACCUGUUGUUUCACUUUAGCCAAAGGAGGGAGCAGAAGGAAGAAAUUCUUCAUUAGAAACAUGAAUGAUUGACCCUGACCGAAAAGGCUGCCCCUCCUGCUAGGAUCACACAGGAGCAUCUGCUCUGGAUGGGCCUGCAGCGGUCCUGGCUGUGCUGCUGACUGGUGCACCAGGAGCGGCACUGAGGGGAGCCGGGAGAGGCCCUGGCCCUCACCCCCAUCCCACAUCCACAUCUGCCCCCUCACUGAUUGCUUGCGGUCCUGGUCCUCAGUUCCUGGGACUAAGAACCACAGCAGCCUGAUUGCCCCUGGGACAGAGGGGCUGAGCCUCACACCAUGUGCCCUUCUCAGCCACCCAGGUCCUGGCCGAAGAGUUCUGCCUGCCUCACCCCGAGGCCUGAGGCUGCACCUGGGCUACCACGUGCCCCCCGCAGAUUCCCACAGAUGGAAGGGCACUGAUGGCUUCCUCCCUUGUGCCAAGUUGCCUGGAAACCCCUGGUCCUGGUGGCCCCUCCUCCACCCCAACUGUGUCCCUCCAGGACCACUUCCAGGAGACUGCCAGCCUUUGGACUGCAUCCCUGGAGUUCUGAGAGACUGUGACAUGGGCUGCAGGGGAGGAGAGGAGCAGAGGACCAGGGGCCUCCCUGGGGCUGAUGGGCAGUGGAGGUUCUACGCCAUCACCGACUUGAAUAAGACAGCUUUCCCUUUUCUGUGUGUGAUGAACUCUCCACCAGUCAGCGCAGUCUGGUCAGAGAAAUGUUCUUGUUUUCAGUGUUGUCAAAUCUUGUGUCUAUCUAAGUUAAUAAAAAAAAUUAUUUUAGUUCAAAAAAAAAAAAAACAGAGGCCUCUUGUUUCUGGUGUGGUGCCCCCUUGGAGGAGAGGGUCUGUUGGUGAGCUCACCCGACUCUGGUGGCCAGAAGCUGGGGGAGGGGAGCAUCCUGAGGGCUAUAAUUGGGUGGGGUCAUGGCAGGAAACCAGUGAAUGUUAUACUUCAUAUUAAUAGAACAAAGGGGUAAUACAUAAUCGUUCCAAAAGAUUUAAAACAUGGAUUUGGUGAAAUUCAGUACCCAUUCAUGAUUUUAAAAACUUUUAAGAACAUUGAAAUUGUUAGGAACUCAUUCUUCUGGCAAAUAGUCUAUAAAAAACCUCAGUGCGCAUAAUAUUUAAUGGUGAAAGAAUGUUCCUAAUAUUGGGAACAAUGCAUGGUGUCUACUCUUGCCAUUUCUAUUCAUCAUUGUAGUGGAAGCUUGAGCAAAUGGAAUAAGCCCCCUACCCUGACAAAUCCAUCCGAAUUGGAAAGAAAUAAAGCUUUAUUCACAGAUCA